GGGUCAGUAGGUUGGUCGUGCCACCGGUACGUACUGGUCUCACUGAUUCCUCCUUCCUGAAGAACCGUAAUGCCAUUAAUUUGGUGUUGCGGGGAAACAGGACUGUUACUUUGAAAAAAUUAGAGUGUUUAAAGCAAGCUAACGCUUGAAUACAUUAGCAUGGAAUAAUGAAAUAGGACGAUCGAUCCUAUUUUGUUGGCUUCUAUGAUUGACGUA
This 216-nucleotide ribosomal RNA is filed under the name Glomeromycotina sp. RNAcentral describes it as "partial small subunit ribosomal RNA". The stretch from base 40 to 216 matches the Rfam family "Eukaryotic small subunit ribosomal RNA", at positions 686 to 864 of the family's 1831-position model. Lineage: Eukaryota; Fungi; Glomeromycota. The record is from RNAcentral.